This is an RNA transcript of Zonotrichia leucophrys gambelii, 5562 nucleotides long. It is a transcript of the gene named mitogen-activated protein kinase kinase kinase 14, with no coding region annotated. The record is from RefSeq and is a predicted model, not a curated record. The transcript is spliced from 17 exons. NCBI's taxonomy places the organism in Eukaryota, Metazoa, Chordata, Aves, Passeriformes, Passerellidae.
CGCCUGUCAGUGAGCGGGAGCUGCCGAAGAGGCCUGAGGGGCCGCGCCGGGCUGUGCCGGGCGGGCUGAGCGGAAUCGCGCCGGGCUGGACCGGGCUGAGCCGAACCGAACCGUGCCGGAGCGUGUCUCCCUGAAGCUGGGAAAUGGCCGUGAUGGGAAUUGCAUGCCAGGGAUCUCCUGAUCCAACAGUCAAACACAAAAAGGAGCUCACAGCUGCUGAGGGGCUGAAGGAGACAGUGAGUGAAAAGCAAAGCAGUGUUUGCAAAGUAGAAGAUUCAAAGAAGGCCAUCUUUGACAGUCAGUGGAAAAUCCUGAAUGAUGUAAUCACCAGAGGAACAGCAAAAGAAGAAACAGAAGGAGGCUGUGCAUCAAUUUCUAUUAUUGCCCAAGCAGAAUGUGAAAACAGUCAGGAGUUCAGCCCCACUUUAUCAGAGAGAUCCUUUAUUGCCCACAGUAAACGUUACAGCAGCCGCUCGGACAGCCUCGAUCACAUCCCCAACAAUGUGGCCCACGCCACGGAGGGCAGGAUGGCUCCCACCUGGAGAGGGAGGCACCGGGGCAGGGCCAGGAAGAAAAGGCACAAGAAAAGAUCCAAGCUGAAAGGACAACCUGUGGCUGCUGGCAGGAGGAGUCCAAGAACUCCAGAACAGGAGAGCUGCACCCCAAUUCCUGUCCAGGAGGAUGAAUCCCACCAAAGCACUCUUUACAGAAACAGUUUUUGGGUUCCUGAAUUUAACAAGGACUUGGGCUAUGAUCCACUGCCUUUUGAGAAGCCUGCCCAUGCCCCUUUGUCCAUGGGCAAACUGCAUUCCCCAAGGAGCCAGUACAAAACUGAACUGCACAAGCUGAUCAGCCCCAUUCAGUGCCUUAAUCAUGUUUGGAAACAGAGGGACACUGUUCCUCAGCCUGAGACUCUCCAUCCUUUCCCCUACAACAUCCUUCCCCCCCAUUUCCCACACGUGGACAAUCCUCUCCGUGCCAUGAAGCAGAAUGCUCUGGACAAAUACUUCCAUGGUGACCUCAACUAUCAAGACAGUCACUUAUCUGGCCUAAACUUAGAAUAUAAUUUCACCAAAUGCAUCAACCAGUCUGUGCAAACCAGUGCUGACAAACUUUCUGUGGAAGAAUAUUUGGUAGAUGCCUUGAAGGGGAGCGUGAGUUUUGGAGAACCACAAAAUUUAGCCAGCCUGGCCAAGACAUGGAGAGGAGGUGGGCUGGAGCUGAAGGAACAAUUCCAUGAAGCAAGUGAAAAUGAAGGAGUGCUGCUGAAUGAGAAGCUGAAGCCGGUGGAUUACGAGUACCGAGAAGAAGUUCACUGGACCAAGUGCCACGGUUCCCUGGGCAUUGGCUCUUUUGGGGAGGUCUACAAGAUAGAGGACAAACAGACAGGAUUCCAGUGUGCUGCCAAAAAGGUGCAGCUGGAACAUUUCCGUGCCGAGGAGCUGACGACGUGCGCGGCCGUGAGCAGCCCCAGCGUGGUGCCCCUGUACGGGGCUGUCAAGGAGGGUCCCUGGGUCACCAUCUUCAUGAAGCUCAUGGAGGGUGGCUCAUUAGGGCAGCUCAUUAAACAGAGUGGCUGCCUGCCCGAGGACAGAGCCCUCAGCUACCUGGGCCAGGUCUUAGAGGGUCUGGAGUAUCUUCAUGCUCAAAACAUUCUCCAUGGAGAUGUCAAAGCUGAGAACGUGCUGCUGUCAGCAGAUGGGAGCAGGGCCCUCCUGUGUGACUUUGGCCACUCUGCUCACCUGCACCCAGAUGGGCUGGGAAAGUGCUUGGUCACAGGGAACUACGUGCCUGGCACAGAGACCCACAUGGCCCCCGAGGUGGUGAUGGGGAAGCGCUGUGACUCCAAGGUGGACGUGUGGAGCAGCUGCUGCAUGAUGCUGCACAUGCUCAAUGGCUGCCACCCCUGGACCCAGUACUACAACCACCCUCUGUGCCUCAAGAUCGCUAAAGAGCCGCCUCCUGUGAGGGAAAUUCCACCUUCCUGCAACCCUCUCACUGCUGAGAUUAUAAAGCUGGGGCUGGAGAAGGAGCCUCUGCACAGGGCAUCUGCAUCAGAGCUCAAAACUAAAACCAGCGUGGCACUUGAGGAAGUGGGAGGUGUGAGAAGCCCCUGGAAAGGUGAAUACAGAGAGCCCAGACAUUUCUCUUUGAACAAAGAAAACAGUGCACAAACAUCCCUGUCCCCCACAGUGAGCCCAGUUUCUGAGAUUGCUUCUGACCCAAAACUGUCAGUCAAAGUUUCCUGUGGCAGCUCAGUCCUCCCACCUCCAUCUCUGGAGCAAACAGAGGAGGCUGAGGGACCCCACUGGAAUGAGGACAAGGAGUUACCUGAAACCUGUGAUCCCCCACCCCUCUCCUCAACCCCUCUGCCCCUGAAGAGCUGCAGCCACGUGGAAAGAGCCACAACCAUUUCAGAGCAAGAACUUCAGCAGCUGGAAAUUGAACUGUUUCUGAACAGCCUUUCCCAGCCUUACUCUCUGGAAGAGCAGGAGCAAAUGCUUUCCUGCCUCAGCAUUGACAGCCCCUUUGUGUCAGAUGCCAGUGAGAAGAACUCCAUGAAGGCUUCUCAGAGCUUGAGGGACACCAUGAGCUCGGGGAUCCAUUCCUGGAACAGCCAGGCCGAGGGGCAGAGCUGCAGCUGGAACAACCUGCUGAGCCGCAGCCGGCACACGGACACCCCCAGCUGCUUCAACGGAGUGAAAAUCCAGAUCCAGUUGCUAAGUGGAGAAAAUUUGCACAUCAGAGAUUUCCACAGGACAAAGGUGGGAGACAUUGCCACGGGGAUCAGCAGCCAGAUCCCCGUGCCUGCCUUCAGCCUGGUGACCAAGGAGGGGCAGCCUGUGCACUACAACAUGGAGGUGCCUGACUCUGGCAUCGAGCUGCAGUGCACCCUGGCCCCCGACUGCAGCGUGGGCUGGGCCUGGCGCGUCAAGCACGGCCAGCUGGAGAACAGGCCCUGAGGCCCUGCCUGCUCUGGAGCUUUGCACCUUGUGAAAGGAGGGAUUGCAGAAGCUUCUGACCUCCCCUGCCGUGGAGCACCAAGUGCAGUGGCUGCUGGUUGUGCUGCAGCAGGAUCACAGCUCGCUGCCCUCGCUGCUGUUGGCUGCUCUGAUCCACUUCCAAGACGUGUCCUGAGCUUAGACAUUCCCCAGGACAGUGGGAAUUCCUUGUUUUGGGUGUGUUAGAGCUUGAGAAUGGUAGGUGGAGAUUCCUCACUUUUCAGAGGAAGGAGGUUGUGCUGUUCAGGAGAGCAGGGCCACGAGAACUCUGCUCCUGCUCCAAGGUGAGGUCGGUCGUGGCUGGGCUUGCCCAGAGGAGGAGCUUGGGUGCCCUCAGUGUUGUGCCAAGGGGAGCUGGCUGACUUCCUUCCAGCUGGAGGAAAAAACAUUUCUGUAGGCUCUGGGGAGCAUCAUCUCCACCUCAAGCCUUUAGCAUGGGGAGGAUCCACAGCAGUCACUGGCUGGCUCUUGGUUUCACCUCCCACCCUUCCCCGCGGUCGCUUCAUUCUUGAAUGAGAAAAGAACUUUGUUCCCAGAAAGAGCUUUGCUUGCAGCUCCCACCUGCAGGGCUCAGAGGAGCUGCUGCUCUCUCUGGUGUCCCUGGCAGGCAGGGCAGGAGAAGGGUACAGAAUUCCAUGGAGGGGUUGUUCCUCCAUCCUGUUCCCACCUCUGAGGUGGGACUUCAGAUGUGCUGUUAAGGGACAUCAGCUCUGUCAGCUGUGACAGGGCUGAAUUUUAUUGCAGAGUUUAUAAAAAUCUCCCUCCCAGCUCCCAGUCCAGCCCAGUGCCCCAGUUCUGUGAGCUCAGUUUGGCUUCCCACUCCUCCCUCACUUCAGCCUGGGUUCACUGAGUGGGACGGGCAGCUGGGCCUGCAAUGCCUUAAGCUUUAAACUGGUUUUUUUUACUGAUUUAUGAAUGUUUGGAACACACUGAAACCUCACAGGUUAAUUCAGGUGGGUGGGUGUUGUUCACCCUUCUCCACCCCAGAACAGAUCCCAGGGGAGGUGUGAGCUCCCAGUGUGUUUGCUCAGGGCUGUGCUGUUCCAGGCCUGGCACACCUGGAAAUCACAAUCCCUCCCUCUGGCUGUGCCUCUCCCAGAGCUCUGAGGCUGCAGCUCCCAAAUCCAAGGUGGGCUCUGCCAGGUCUGUGCUGCUCUGGGAGACACCAUGGGGCAGCAAAGUGUUCCCAAGGGAAGUUCACUCAGAAAAUAGCUGGGAAAAGCAGAACUCUGAGCCUCCCUUUUUGGGGAGCAGCACUCCUUAAACAAGGGAUGCUCCUUCCCUUUGGUCUCCCAGAGCAUGGGCUGGUUUUGCUCCACCAGACAGUGACAUCCCUGAUCAGAAAACUCAAGUUUGUAAUAAGAAAGUGGAACUCAUGAAGAAAAAUGAAACCUGUCACCACUUUGGGUAUCAUUUUUAUAGCACUUUUUGUUCUAAAGCACUUAAUACGUUGUCCAAAAUAGGCACCUAAUUAUAUCUACUAUGCCACAUUCAGAGUCUUUUCAGUAAAUAAUUAACACAUUAUGCACAUGUCUUCCAGGAGGGAGUGGGGAAGGGGGGGUUGGCUCCAUUUCUUUUUUCAGAUGCCAUAAAUUACUCAAGAGUUUAAGCUCUGGAGCAGGAGGGAUCAAAGGAGGGAUCCUCUUCCAGGACUCCCAAGCACAGGUUCAGUGGAUCCCUGGAUCCUUUCCUGAGCUUGCUCCAAGGGGACAGGAGGAAAACCUGGUUGUUUUGUGAGUGUGUGGUGGUGUGUCAGUCCCAAAGCAUGGUGGGUUCCAUCCCAAAGGCUGCACCUUGUGCCUCUGUCACCUGGGGGGUGCUCCCAUGUCCUGGUGUCCAGUUCCAUGCCUGGGCAUUGGGAGUGAGCCCUGGAGCAGCAGGGAGGGAACAGCAGGACUGCCUGCAGGACUCCUGGGCUCUGCAUCUGCAGCAUUAACCUGAACUCAGCCACUGCACAGGGCAGGGAACCCUCCUGGGCCUGGGAUGUCCUCACAGGGCCCAGGCAGAUGUCUGUGAUCCCAGACCAAUGGAGAUCUCCUGGCCCAUGGACAUGUUCAUGUUCCCUGGCCCAUGGAGAUCCCCAGGCCCAUGGAGAUGUCCAUGUUCCCAGGUCCAUGGAGAUCUCCUGGUCCAUGGAGAUAUUUGUGUUCCAGGAGAUCUCCUGGCCCAUGGAGAUGUCUGUGUUUCCCUGGCCCAUGGACAUGUCCAUGUUCCCAGACCAAUGGAGAUCCCCAGGUCCAUGGAGAUAUCUGUGUUCCUAAGCCCAUGGAGAUCUCCUGGCCCAUGGAGAUCUUCUGGCCCAUGGAGAUGUUCCCAGGUCCAUGGAGAUCUCCUGGCCCAUGGAGAUGUCUGUGUUCCCCAGGCUCAUGGUGCUCUCCUGGCCCAUGGAGAUCCCCAGGCCCAUGGAGAUGUUCAUGUUCCCAGGUCCAUGGAGAUCUCCUGGCCCAUGGAGAUGUCCAUGUUCCCCAGUCCCCUCAUAGCAGCAUUAGCCAGGAUUCCCCUGUUUGUUUGUCCCAAGCCUCCAGCCCUGUUUUGCUGCCACACAAGUGCCCAGUGAGGC